UGGGGAAUAUUGCACAAUGGGCGAAAGCCUGAUGCAGCAACGCCGCGUGAGUGAUGAAGGUCUUCGGAUUGUAAAGCUCUGUCUUUUGGGACGAUAAUGACGGUACCAAAGGAGGAAGCCACGGCUAACUACGUGCCAGCAGCCGCGGUAAUACGUAGGUGGCGAGCGUUGUCCGGAUUUACUGGGCGUAAAGGGUGCGUAGGCGGAUGUUUAAGUGAGAUGUGAAAUACCCGGGCUUAACUUGGGUGCUGCAUUUCAAACUGGAUAUCUAGAGUGCAGGAGAGGAGAAUGGAAUUCCUAGUGUAGCGGUGAAAUGCGUAGAGAUUAGGAAGAACACCAGUGGCGAAGGCGAUUCUCUGGACUGUAACUGACGCUGAGGCANGAAAGCGUGGGGUAGCAAACAGGAUUAGA
Molecule: ribosomal RNA, 411 nt
Filed under: uncultured bacterium
Lineage: Bacteria
Description: partial 16S ribosomal RNA
Rfam family: Bacterial small subunit ribosomal RNA
Source: RNAcentral